Molecule: ribosomal RNA, 197 nt
Filed under: uncultured bacterium
Lineage: Bacteria
Description: partial 16S ribosomal RNA
Rfam family: Bacterial small subunit ribosomal RNA
Source: RNAcentral
ACGCUCGACACCUACGGGGGCAGCAGUGGGGAAUAUUGCACAAUGGGGGAAACCCUGAUGCAGCGACGCCGCGUGAGUGAAGAAGUAUUUCGGUAUGUAAAGCUCUAUCAGCAGGGAAGAAGAUGACGGUACCUGAGUAAGAAGCCCCGGCUAACUACGUGCCCGCAGCCGCGGUAAUCUGAGCGGGCUGGCAAGGC